Molecule: ribosomal RNA, 226 nt
Filed under: uncultured bacterium
Lineage: Bacteria
Description: partial 16S ribosomal RNA
Rfam family: Bacterial small subunit ribosomal RNA
Source: RNAcentral
UACGUAGGGUGCAAGCGUUAAUCGGAAUUACUGGGCGUAAAGCGUGCGCAGGCGGUUUUGUAAGUCUGACGUGAAAGCCCCGGGCUCAACCUGGGAAUUGCGUUGGAGACUGCAAGGCUUGAAUCUGGCAGAGGGGGGUAGAAUUCCACGUGUAGCAGUGAAAUGCGUAGAGAUGUGGAGGAACACCGAUGGCGAAGGCAGCCCCCUGGGUCAAGAUUGACGCUCA